RNAcentral lists this ribosomal RNA (232 nucleotides) under uncultured bacterium. Its description in RNAcentral is "partial 16S ribosomal RNA". It matches the Rfam family "Bacterial small subunit ribosomal RNA", at positions 102 to 334 of the family's 1533-position model. The record is from RNAcentral.
CACGGGUGAGUAACACGUAUCCAACCUGCCGUCUACUCUUGGACAGCCUUCUGAAAGGAAGAUUAAUACAAGAUGGCAUCAUGAGUUCACAUGUUCACAUGAUUAAAGGUAUUCCGGUAGACGAUGGGGAUGCGUUCCAUUAGAUAGUAGGCGGGGUAACGGCCCACCUAGUCUACGAUGGAUAGGGGUUCUGAGAGGAAGGUCCCCCACAUGGAACUGAGACACGGUCCAA